Molecule: long non-coding RNA, 7683 nt
Filed under: Lynx pardinus (Iberian lynx)
Lineage: Eukaryota; Metazoa; Chordata; Mammalia; Carnivora; Felidae
Source: RNAcentral
GAUCGCUGCUUCUCAGUACGUGAUGACGGACGCCUGGGUUAGUGUUACAGACAGCGGCUCAGGAAGCAACAGCGUGCACGGGCUGUUCGCACAGGUAGAAGUAUCUUUAGCGACGUUCCUCAAAAUGGGAUCGCUGGGCGUUUGCAGUUUUGAAAGACAUUGCCAAACUGCCCUCCAUAGGAGUUAGGAAGGGAACCUGAAGUGUGUAAUUUAGAGUUAUAAAGAUAACAAGUAAAAACAGGGAUAUGUGUCAUAAAACCAAUAAAGCCCAGGAGGGGACGAAGGAGGAAAUGCCGGGGAGACGAGAUGAACCACAUCUGUUACCCUUCCUGAUGGGGAUUCGGUGCGUACUCUUUAGAGCUUACAAACACACACGCCGUUCAGAGUGGUCCCCUCUGGGACUGGGGCAGGAGACAUCUUCCUCUCACUGUGUUUUCCUACGUGCUCGAAAAAUGAUGAGGCCAUGUUCAUGUGUUACUGCCAGAGGCAGACAGCUGUGUCCGUGUCUAAUAGUGACACCACCCCAGGACCAGUCUUCUGUGCAGGCUGGGUGGGAAACCGCUGUGGGGAGCAGGUUCUGUGCUCCCACGGGUGCCUGGUCGCUUACGGGUGACAUUUGAGAAUCGAGGACUGUCCCGGGCCCCUUCUGGUUCCACACCGCCCCCCGCCCCCUGUCCCCGGGAGUUUUUCAGAGGCAAAACAGAGAGGGGACUCCUGAAAAGUUUCUGGACACCUGUUCUGAGGGGAAAGCCGGAAGGUGGUGCCUGAGAGAGGAAAGAAAGAACUAUUCAGACCCCAGGGUCCCGGGGUGCGCUCCAUGUGGCAGGACCUUCGUCAGGAGGGUGAGGACCGAAUCCUCAACUCUUGUACAGACCCAGUGGACAGCUGAUAGGCGCCUCAUUCCGCUGAUUUUAAGUUGCGUUUCCCCCCCUACACACACACACACACACACACACACACACACACACACACACACACAGAGUCAUUUCCCCAUUCCGGAAGUCAGAAUGUGUCUUUCGCUGCAAGCAUGGGGCAGCUCGGCUUUGCCAGGGGUGCAGGACUCAUGGCCCACCUUCCUGCAGGGUGUCCUGGACGGGCCGAGACCUCCCACGCACGGCGGUGGCCUCUCCAGCCCUCCGAGCGCAACACGCAGGGGGAGUUUCUCGGCCGCCCCACGGAGGCUGCAGGCGGCGGGGGGGGUGGGGGACGGGCCCCGGGUGCCCCCGGCUGAUGGCCCUGUCUUGCAGGUGUAGCCGCCGGCCACCAUGGGCAAACAGAACAGCAAGCUGCGGCCCGAGGUGCUGCAGGACCUGCGUGAGAACACGGAGUUCACCGACCACGAGCUGCAGGAGUGGUACAAGGGCUUCCUCAAGGACUGCCCCACCGGCCACCUGACCGUGGACGAGUUCAAGAAGAUCUACGCCAACUUCUUCCCCUACGGCGACGCCUCCAAGUUCGCCGAGCACGUCUUCCGCACCUUCGACACCAACGGGGACGGCACCAUCGACUUCCGGGAGUUCAUCAUCGCGCUGAGCGUCACCUCGCGGGGCAAGCUGGAGCAGAAGCUCAAGUGGGCCUUCAGCAUGUACGACCUGGACGGCAACGGCUACAUCAGCCGCAGCGAGAUGCUGGAGAUCGUGCAGGUACGGCUCCGCGCCACGCCGGGCCCGCCCCCCUCCCCGGACGCGUGUGGCCGUCGCCGCGGCGUCGGGUCAUUCUCGGCCGGGGCGCCCCCUCCCCCACCCCGCACCGUGCGCUUUUGAAGGUGCCCGGCUGGCACCUAACCGGGCGGGGCCUUGCAAUAGGAAUGAUAAGAGCCCGGGUUUCUCGAUCACUUGCUUGUCCGCGUCAGGCCCGGGGCCUAAGGGCUCUGAUCUGUUUCUUCACGACCCUGUGCGCCAGCGCCCUUCUCUGCACUUCACAAAAUCUGAGCCUCGGAGAGGUGAUGCCCUAAGAAAGAACAGAGCUGAAAAUUAACAAUUGAGGGGUCCCUUGAUGCUUGCCGAAGGCGCCUGCUAGGAGACCUUUUCGAAUCCCCGUAUUCGAGAAUGCAACCGGCAGCUUGUAAUGUCCCCGGGAACGCGCGGUUGUAAAGCAGAACCGAAGCGUUAGUGGCCCUGGAAUAAGUCAGACGCAGGAGGGACACCUCUUCAUGAGACCUUCUCGCCUCACCUUCGCGCCUGUCAGGAGCUCUGGCAGGUGAGGCUGUUUUCCAGAAAGAAACCAAGUUUUGUUCACUUCGCCAGAGGGACCCCGGAGCUGCUCCUUCCUGGUGCCCCCCUGUGCCCCCUCUCCUGGAGCCUGGGGGAGCCGGUUCUAGAAUUCCUCAGAAGAGGCGUUCUCUACAUGGAAGGAAGCAGCUUCUUGGCUCAGGAACGAAGUGUUGAGCAAAGAGCAUCAAACCGGCCACGAGUGGCCUGAUCAACCCAUGUCUCAAAUAGGUGGUCUUCACAAAGAAUAAAUCGACACAGGUUUGGGGAACUCUGUGGUCCAUUCGUCGCUUCCGGUCCGUAGCUAUAAGGGGUGGGAGAAGUAAGAAAUCUGCCUCCCUGGAAUGUCUUCAUCCUGCCCUACCCGUCAGCCCUUUGGCAACCAGGCAUGCCCUCCCCCUGUCCCCUCGCAUAGCUCCUCAGCUUGCCAGGUGGGAUACCCAUCCCUACACCUUUCGCAGAACGGACUGGUGUUUUGAAUUUAAGAAAAAAAAAUUUUGUUUCAUGUUUAUUUAUUUUUGAGAGAGAGAAAGCGGGAGACAGAGUGUCAGCAGGGGAGGGGCGGAGAGCGAGGGAGACGCAGAAUCCGAAGCAGGCUCCGGGCUCUGAGCUGUCAGCACAGGGCCCGACGAGGGGCUGGAACCCACGAACUGCGAGAUCCUGACCUGAGCCGAAGGCGGAUGCUUAACCGGCUGAGCCUCCCAGGCGCCCCAGAAUGGACUGCUGUUUUAAGUCCUUCAGAAGCCUACCUACCAAGUCCUCGCAGGGGCUUGGUGCUGCCUUUGGCUCUGCACUUGGGCAGGAGGGGUGGCCCGGGCCCAGGAGGGUGUCCUGUCUCAGGAAGAUGCACACCCGCGUGGCACAGCUCCCCUGGGCCGUGAGGCUGGUGGGAGACGGGACCAGGCCAGGCCUGCCCCUGCCCUGAAAACAGAGAGGGGGCAAGGAGCAGGGGAACAUAAUACAUAUGGGAAAACUCACUCAGGACCACUCUUUUUUGGGUUUUGUUUUUGUGUUUUUCAUGCCCUGCUUUUAAGUUAAAAUAAGUCUCAGACUUUUGCUGUUCUUGGUCUGUUGUUUCAGGAAUGGGGGUUUCAGUCAGGCCACUUGCACGGAAGCCCCUUCCUCCUUGCAUGUUACUCUGAUGGUCGCUGGCCUCCUCGCGGCCCCUCCACACGCACGCCUGUGCCCACCACGGCACAGGGACGCGUGUCCAGGCUGGGCCCCCGGGACAGAGACACACCGGGAUGGCCCGUGGUGGUGGUGAGCCCGCGGAUGGCAGUGCUCUAAAGAGAAGGGCUUCUAUCCUUCUGGAGAGACCCGUGCCACCUCGCUGCUGCCCCUUUCUGGGGCUGGUUUUCUCCCUAUGGGUUUCAGGGACUAAAUCUUUCCGUUCUAGACUGAGGUAGUACAUAUAUGUCUGUGUGCCCACCACCCUCGGUGAGUUACGGACAUUCCCAGCCCCCCAGAAGGCUCCCUCAAGGGCCUCCCCGGGCACUGUCCCACCUCCCACCCUAGACAGCCCCCCAGUCUCAGCCCCCUGUCACUGUGGAGUUGUUUUGCCUGCCCUUGAACUUCGCACAAAUGGGUCUGGCUUCCUUUGCUCAGCAUGCCGUCUGCGAUAGUCACCGUGGAACAUUCUAGAAACGUUCCUCUGGAAAGCUGAGGAAGGGUCCCGAAGGCUGCUACAUCCCGACCUCUUCGCGCCUUGCCGUGAGCUGCGUGGAAGCUCACGCCGGCCCCAUGUGCCCGGAAACAUUCCAGAAUCUCCGAGCACAUCUUCCGCGUGUCUCUUUGUAGGCUAUCUACAAGAUGGUGUCCUCUGUGAUGAAAAUGCCCGAGGACGAGUCCACCCCGGAGAAACGAACGGACAAGAUCUUCCGGCAGAUGGACACCAACAAUGACGGUAAGGAGUGGGUGCGUGUGUGUGCGCGUGUGUCUGUGCAGGGCGGCUGAGGGCAAAGAUGUGGUUGGCCCCUUCUGCGGCUUCCCGGGCCUCUCCCAGCCCACCCCUGGCCUCGUGCAGCUGUACUGAGGGAAGAGGCAGGAUUCAGAGUCAGAGAGACCCGGUCCUGCAUCCUGGCUCUGUCCUCAAGGCAUGUCCUGUCCCCCCGCCCCCGAGCCAUAGUGCCCUCACUUCUAAAAUGAGGGAGACCGUCAGCCCCAUCGGCGUGUCCCAGGGAGGGGGAGGCACCCGGGGGGCAGGUGCAUCAAGGGGCCCGGAUGGUGGGAAACCUUUGCUUUGCUGUCAUCCUGGCUGCCAGGCUCCCCGGUGCCCCGUGGCCUGCAACAGCCGUGGCAGGGUCCCUGGGGCCAUACUGCAGCAGGACUGGUGGGGACAGAUGGGCAGUGGUGGUGGCCGUACGGGGAGGACAUGCUCCACGUGUCGUCCUCUGCCUCAGCACUGAGGUUCGGUAGGAUCCACGCAGGGGGAGGCAGCCCUGCAAGGGCGGGUCCGUGCCUCUUGCCGGCCCUGUCAUCCUGGAGGUUAAAAAUCAGUGAAUACGUGAAGGGGUGCUCGGUAAACUCUCAAGCACUUUUGGCACAUGAGUCAGAGGACUGAGCCAGCCCGGGCAUGACGUUUACGGUGUGACCGCAGGCGGCAGAGGGCACCCUGGACACAUCGGACAGCAAGGGAAGUUUCCCAAACGCGUCCACAUGUCAAACAAGACCGCCUUGUGUCUGGCAUUGCCCUUGUGCUCACUUAAAACCCGUCUUUCACCCUCCAGGGUAGCAAGGCACAGGCUCCAGAUGCCCACAGACCUGCACGGAGUCUUGGGCUCGCCCGAGCCUUGGUUUUCUCCUCUGGGAAAUGGGGUUGAUAAAUUCAGGCUCGGGUGGUGGUGAGGAUUCAAUGGGACGAUGCCCAGGAAGCUCUUAGUGUCGCCCUUGGGCCCCCCCCUCCCCUGCCGGGACCCACGCACCCGUUCCGGGCCCAGCUGGGCCCGCACCGUGCGCCUUCCCUGCUUGUUGGUGAACCUGAGUCCGUGCACCGUGGGGCCGGGCACCUCUGUGAGCCCCUGUCCGUCUGUCCCUGGGGCCUGGGGAGGGAAGGAAGAGUGGGUGUUGGAGGGAUCAGGGCGAAAGCAGGGGUGCCCAGCCCUUGAGCUGGGGGGCCCUGCACUCUGUCUUAUUUUCCGGCCACCCCGGGGGUCAGUGGUGCCCACGGGUUUUCUCCAGCACCACCCUCUCUUGUCCACACCCCCAACCCAGCCAUACGUGUGAACUGAGACUGGCCGCGUGCCAGGAGCGCCCUGACCACUGCCAGACGGACCCAGAGACGCAGAUCAUGCUCAGGAACCCCCAGAGCCCCCGAGGGCCCCCCUCAGCCCCUCACCCGCCCUGCUGUCUGCCAGGAGGAAGGGGCUGUGCUUUUAGAAGCUUCCCCGCCCCCCCACCCCCACCCCUACCCCGGAGCCAUCAGAUGGUGGGGGAGUGGCCGGUAAAAGUCCCCACCAGCCAUCAGGAGAGUGAGAAAACACAGUCGUCCUCCGUGUAAGCAGAGGGUCCCGGACGGUUUCUCCUCCUCUGAAGGGGGUGCUUCCCAGCGCAGCCUGGGGCCUAGAGGCUGGUUAGUCUCCCCGAGGGGCCUGUCUGCCUGCCCCCUACUGGGGACCCGCAAGAGGGGGUGUUCCUCUCCGGCGGGGGGCUGGCAGGUGGUCUCGGCCCGGGAGGCUGGAUCCUCGCCUCCGGACCCCUCACUUGGCUUCCUGGAAGCCGCUCGCGGAGCGUGUCCUCUGGGUCAGGUCGGGGCUGGAGAUCCCUGCCCGUGGUGGCAUGGCACGGGCCACGAGCUCCUUACUCCCUUUACUGCUGUCCUGCGGGGUACAUAUCACGGUCUCACAGCCACAGACUGCCCACGCAUCAGCCGGCAGAGCACAGCCAGCUUCACCCCGACGUCCUUGCCCAUGUGCAUCCUGGGAGAGGGGGGCAGUGACCGUGUGGGUCACGGUCUCUCCGGAACUCACUGAGGUUGUCAAACCCACGUUCCUAUCUCUUCGUCCCAACAGUGGCAGGCUCGGCGGUGCGGGAGGGACAGAGGGUGGGGGAGGGCCGGCUGGACGCUUGGCAAGGCGGGUCUCCUCGAGUCCCCCACCCCAAAGGGUGACAGUACAGCCGGUCUGCCAGCCAAGCGGAGGCCGGGCAGUGCCCGGGGGCCCCCGGCUGCCCUCCACCCACCCACCCACCCACCCAGCCGUGCUCCCCUCGGCUCUGAGGAAGUUAUGGGUGAGAGGCAGAGACCGUGUUCUUUCUGGACAGCUCACGGCUUGCUUACGUAAAGCCUGGGGUGACUGCUAGAAGGAUUUAAAUUGCCCCACAAGCCACAGCUCCCGUCUUACUGGAUAUGCCCCUUAAGCUGCCCCGUGCUUUGCAGCGAGCGGUGACAGCAAAACGGGAGUUUCCAGGAGCGCCUGCGAAGGGAGCGGAGCCUCCCUUGGGCCCCGCUUCGAGAAGGUGCGAGACUUAGACCGGAGGGGGCGUCCCGGACCCGGGAGCCGUCUCCGUGACCUCUGGAAGCGCGAGGGGCACCGGGCACUGGCUCACCCCCUCCCCGUAUCUCCUCUCUGCCGUCCCACAGGCAAACUGUCCCUGGAAGAGUUCAUUAAAGGUGCCAAGAGCGACCCCUCCAUCGUCCGCUUGUUACAGUGUGACCCCAGCAGCGCCAGUCAGUUCUGAGGGACCCGGCGUCCGGAAGGUUGCAGAGAAACACAGGCUCUGCCUCGCCGUUUCAGCUUUGCUUGCAAAAGUGGAUGCCUCUCCUCCACCGCUCCUGCUCUCCCGGCCGGGGCCCCGGGCGACACGCGGCACCUGCCCGGCCUGGCGGCUGCGCCUCCCCCCUCCCCCCGGCCCCCUCCUGCCCCGGCCCGGCCCCCAGGGCGCCGCCCGGGCAGGUGUUUACACGCGGGGCUCAUAGGUCUCGAUUCCGGGGUGCCUCCCCGCCCCGGGGAGCCCAGGGCACGCGGCUGAGGACACUGAUGGGACUUCCCAAGAUGGAGACAAGGCGGGCUCAUCCAUCUCGCGAUCGCGGGUGACCGUGGGAAAGCCGGGGACAAGAACGGAGGGAGAGGAGACGGGCAAGCCCUCCCCCGUGCAUGGCUCCACCUCGCUCGUCCGUGGCCUCCGAUCAGAGCUGCUCGCACGUACGCAUACUAUGGCCUCCUUUCUUUUGAUAUAUAAAUUAUGCCCAUGGUGAGGUGCAAUGUCCCGUGUAGGUCCCGUAUUUCAUGCCUCCGUUGCCUGUGAAGCGUGGUUCCCUCGUGGCCUGUGAUCUCCCCUCCCGCCCCCCGCCCCCGGCCCCGAACCUGGUUAUCUUGUGGUAUUUAUGCGCUCUCCAUCCGCCCGUGUCAAAGGAAAUGCAUGCGUGCCCCGUGCCGUGGAGACCCUCCCGUCCACGUAGUGAACACAGGCGUCUGUGCAAGGGCUGUCCUCCCGUUGAUUGGUCUGGCAUUUCCUGUAUUAAAAUGAUCAAAUAAAC